AAAUAAGAAGCAAUCCGCAAAUGCAUUUAAUUUCGACUUAAAAGAAAGAGUAAAACCACUCCUUAUUUA
Molecule: transfer RNA, 69 nt
Filed under: Aporia bieti
Lineage: Eukaryota; Metazoa; Arthropoda; Insecta; Lepidoptera; Pieridae
Description: tRNA-Arg
Source: RNAcentral